AUUGAACGCUGGCGGCAUGCCUUACACAUGCAAGUCGAACGGUAACGGGCCUUCGGGUGCCGACGAGUGGCGAACGGGCGAGUAAUACAUCGGAACGUGCCCGACCGUGGGGGAUAACGAGGCGAAAGCUUUGCUAAUACCGCAUACGAUCUACGGAUGAAAGCAGGGGACCGCAAGGCCUUGCGCGGACGGAGCGGCCGAUGGCGGCUUAGGUAGUUGGUGGGAUAAAAGCUUACCAAGCCGACGAUCUGUAGCUGGUCUGAGAGGAUGAUCAGCAACACUGGGACUGAGACACGGCCCAGACUCCUACGGGAGGCAGCAGUGGGGAAUUUUGGACAAUGGGCGCAAGCCUUAUCCAGCCAUGCCGCGUGCAGGAUGAAGGCCUUCGGGUUGUAAACUGCUUUUGUACGGAACGAAAAGCCUUCUUUUAAUACAGGAGGGUCAUGACGGUACCGUAAGAAUAAGCACCGGCUAACUACGUG
Molecule: ribosomal RNA, 482 nt
Filed under: uncultured bacterium
Lineage: Bacteria
Description: partial 16S ribosomal RNA
Rfam family: Bacterial small subunit ribosomal RNA
Source: RNAcentral